Molecule: ribosomal RNA, 649 nt
Filed under: uncultured bacterium
Lineage: Bacteria
Description: bacterial SSU rRNA
Rfam family: Bacterial small subunit ribosomal RNA
Source: RNAcentral
CCUUGUCCCAGCAGCCGCGGUAAUACGAAGGGUGCAAGCGUUACUCGGAAUUACUGGGCGUAAAGCGUGCGUAGGCGGUCUGUUAAGUCUGCUGUGAAAUCCCCGGGCUCAACCUGGGAAUGGCAGUGGAAACUGGCGGGCUAGAGUACGGUAGAGGAUGGUGGAAUUCCCGGUGUAGCGGUGAAAUGCGUAGAGAUCGGGAGGAACACCAGUGGCGAAGGCGGCCAUCUGGACCAGUACUGACGCUGAGGCACGAAAGCGUGGGGAGCAGACAGGAUUAGAUACCCUGGUAGUCCACGCCCUAAACGAUGCGAACUGGACGUUGGGCACACUUAGGUGCUCAGUGUCGAAGCUAACGCGUUAAGUUCGCCGCCUGGGGAGUACGGUCGCAAGACUGAAACUCAAAGGAAUUGACGGGGGCCCGCACAAGCGGUGGAGUAUGUGGUUUAAUUCGAUGCAACGCGAAGAACCUUACCUGGCCUUGACAUGUCCGGAAUCCUGCAGAGAUGCGGGAGUGCCUUCGGGAAUCGGAACACAGGUGCUGCAUGGCUGUCGUCAGCUCGUGUCGUGAGAUGUUGGGUUAAGUCCCGCAACGAGCGCAACCCUUGUCCUUAGUUGCCAGCACGUAAUGGUGGGAACUCUAAGGAGA